RNAcentral lists this non-coding RNA (31 nucleotides) under Homo sapiens (human). Lineage: Eukaryota; Metazoa; Chordata; Mammalia; Primates; Hominidae. The record is from RNAcentral.
UGGAGAAGGUGGCUUCAGCAAGGAAGUAGAA